Rhipicephalus microplus (southern cattle tick) is the source of this 151-nucleotide long non-coding RNA. The record is from RefSeq and is a predicted model, not a curated record. Lineage: Eukaryota; Metazoa; Arthropoda; Arachnida; Ixodida; Ixodidae.
AUCGAAAGGCCCAAUUCUGAGAAAAUAAGCUUCAGACAUGUCCAUAGAACUUCAGUACUCUCUUACAAGCAAUCAUUCCUGAAAUCGAUUGGUGGUACAUGAUGUGAAUCUCUCCGAAUACUGGAUCAAUAAAGGUCACAUUUAUUACACA